CACUGGCCCCGUCCGCAUCCUUCUCCAGCGGCCCCGGGGGCCGCCGCGCCUUAACUCGAUCAGGGCUGCAGCGGCUCGCUGGCUUGACCAGUGCAGAAGGGGCGUGGGGGUGAGGGGGGUGGGGUAGGACUCUGAACUUCAAGCACUGGAGUUUGCCGGGAUCGUGAACUUGCAGGGAGAGGCGGUCCUCAUCCAGUGAGGUACUAACAGUCUAAGCAGAAAAAGAAGAACAGAUGGUGGUAAGACCUAGAAUGUUUACCCCAUUAAGAUCUAUAUCUGAAUCCAGAAGGAACACCUCAUUGCCGAGAAGAGCCCUGCAGACAGUUCACACCUCUGUUUCUUUUGCAAGAUAUAGCUACCUCAAAAAAUCCUUUCUUGAUCAAACUCUUAUGGCCUGGAAUCCUUGCGUUUCUGCUGAUGACUGUCAUUUUAGAGUACUUACUAAAGACAAUGGUUGGGGAAAUAGAUAUUUUAAAAAUAAGGGAAGAAGUGGGUAGGGUAAACCCAGGCUUACUUAUGUAAACUCUGAGUGCUGAAGUUAGAAGACAACCUUUAAGAUUAAAAAAA
Molecule: long non-coding RNA, 567 nt
Filed under: Homo sapiens (human)
Lineage: Eukaryota; Metazoa; Chordata; Mammalia; Primates; Hominidae
Description: HSALNT0295066
Source: RNAcentral